Non-coding RNA from Rattus norvegicus (Norway rat), 2755 nucleotides. The record is from RefSeq and is a predicted model, not a curated record. NCBI's taxonomy places the organism in Eukaryota, Metazoa, Chordata, Mammalia, Rodentia, Muridae.
GAGGUUAGGGGGAUGUUGGCCUCUAAACCAGGAAAGGGAAUAACAAUUGAAAUGUAGAUAAGAAAUACCCAAUUUAGUAAAGAUGGAGGGAAAAAGAAAAUAAAUCUGUUCGAUGGUUCCCAAGGGGGGAAAAAAAAAGAGCACUGACUGCUCUUCCAGAGGUCCUGAGUUCAAUUCCCAGCAACCACAUGGUGGCUCACAACCAUCUGCAAUGAGAUCUGGUGCCCUCUUCUGGUGUGUCUAAAGACAGCUACAGUGUACUGAUAUGUAAUAAAUAAAUAAAUCUUUAAAAAAAAAAAAGAAAGAAAGCAGCAAUCUAGAAUCCUGAAAGAAAUGUGGUCCUGUCACUGGAUGUAAUUCCAGUGGUUCUAUGGUUUGGGAACACAGAAGAGACAUCAGUGAUGUCUUAGAGACUUGAGUACAAUUCCUAUUUCCUAUUGUUCUCUUUGAUCAUGUUACUCAACUGAUUCUAUUGUUCCACAAUUGCUCACCCCUGUUUAUCUUAGAAACUAUGCUAACUGCAAGGGACAUGAUAAAAAGUGGGCCAAAUCUGGCCCUUCCCACUCAAACUGAACAGUCUUGUUCAAGCACAUAAAUCAUACAUACCAAGCCAAACAUUGACCAAUAUGAUGUUUUUAAAACCCAUUUUGAUAGUUGACACUAUUUGCAAUAUAGAUUUUUAAAUCACUUUGAGUUAAAAGGAUAAUAAAACAAAAAGCUCCCCCCUCCCUCCAAAAACAAAAACAAAAAAAAACAAAAACAAAAACAAACAAAAAAAAUAAAAAAACAUGGAGUCAAUUUUGUGUUAUCCAACUAUUCCGGGGCAUGAGGCCUUCUCUGGAGUGUGGUUGAUACAUCCAAUGAUACUCCAUUGUGGAAAACUGAUUUUAUGUUUAUCAGUUCGUAGCAAUUGCAAGUAUAUUGUUAGUUAGGAGUGAGACUCUGUAUCCACUUACCCCUCACAGUGAUAGGACCCCAUCUGGCUAGAACUUGUGCAAGUCUCAUGGGGUCAUCGUAUCUACAAAUUGAUAUGUGCCCUUGCCUUCUGUGUGUGGAAGACAGUUUUCUUGGCGUCAUCUACCACCUCUGUCCCUUCACUCUUUCUGUCUCCUCUUCUGCAUAGAUCCCUGAGGCUUGAAGGGAGGGCUUUGAUGAAGAUAUCCCAUUGAGGACUGAGCAUUCCGAAGAAUCUCACUCUCUACUGUCUCGGUGUUGGUUCUCAACUUCUGUGAGAAGAAGCUUCUCUGAUGAGGAUUGAAGUCUGUGUUUUCAAAGAGAUGGACUUUCAAGAACUGGCUGAACCUCAGAUGCCUGCCCUAGUUCCACAUUAUGUUGUCACCAAUCAAGCCUCAGAGGUUAUACCAAGAUUCUGAAUGGUUUGAGAGGUGCCACCCAAAGUAUAGCCAAGGAAACCGCCACAGGGAGCUUAGUCUGGAUCCGUGGUAGGUGGAAGACCGAGGAUGACACGGAAGCUGUAGAACCAGAGUCUGAAAUAUUAGUUCCACAGAUAGAUAGAUAGAUAGAUAGAUAGAUAGAUAGAUAGAUAGAUAGAUGAUAGAUAGAUAGAUAGAUAGAUAAGAGAUAGAUAGAUAGAUGAUAGAUAGAUGAUAGAUAGAUAGAUAAGAGAUAGAUAGAUGAUAGAUAGAUAGAUGAUAGAUAGAUAGAUGAUAGAUAGAUGAUAGAUAGAUAGAUGAUAGAUAGAUAGAUAGAUGAUAGAUAGAUAGAUGAUAGAUAGAUAGAUAGAUGAUAGAUAGAUAGAUGAUAGAUAGAUAGAUAGAUAGAUAAGAGAUAGAUAGAUAGAUAGAUAGAUGAUAGAUAGAUAUAGAUAGAUAGAUGAUAGAUAGAUUGAUAGAUAGAUGAUAGAUAGAUAGAUGAUAGAUAGAUAAAUAGAUGAUAGAUAGAUAGAUAGAUAAGAGAUAGAUAGAUGAUAGAUAGAUAGAUGAUAGAUAGAUAGAUAGAUGAUAGAUGAUAGAUAGAUAGAUGAUAGAUAGAUAGAUGAUAGAUAGAUAAAUAGAUGAUAGAUAGAUAGAUAAGAGAUAGAUAGAUGAUAGAUAGAUAGAUGAUAGAUAGAUAGAUAGAUAGAUAGAUGAUAGAUGAUAGAUAGAUAGAUGAUAGAUAGAUAGAUGAUAGAUAGAUAGAUAGAUAGAUAGAUAGAUAGAUAGAUAGAUGACAAGAGAGAUUAUAGGUAGGUAGAUUGAUGUAGAGAUGUUAGAAAUAAAGAAUAGAAAUUUUAGAAAUUAUAGAAAUAAAAGAUAAGUAGGUAGGUAGAUAAACAGUCAGUUCAUGAACAUGGAGACUCUAGGCCUAUCACGUCUACACCUCUGUCCUCUGUACCUCCUGCCCAGAUUCAUUUAUCUUCUUAUCUAGCCACUCUAGCAUAACACCAUCAACUCUUACUCACUCAUAGUCUUCAGAUACAAUCUAAAGGACACAGGUAUUAAGGCUAAGCCCCUUGACACCAGGAGAUUAUGUACUGGAAGGCGGCACUAGCCGUGGAAGCACAUGGGAUCCCGAUAUAACCGGCACCCUGGGAAAGGGGAUGCCCGAGCAGAGUAGGCCACAGCUGUCAGGCUAAUUUUGUUUUCUAAAAAUACCAUCUCAGCUGACCAAAGCCAAGCCAGCUAUUCUGUGGAGGAAAUAGCGCCUCAAACAGACUGACUGACUCAUCUUCACAGAACUCUGCUGCACUGUUACACACUUUUCCAGUAUUUUCUUUUCCAUCAUUACCUACAAACAAAAUAAAAACCGCAUAACU